Molecule: ribosomal RNA, 1374 nt
Filed under: uncultured bacterium
Lineage: Bacteria
Description: bacterial SSU rRNA
Rfam family: Bacterial small subunit ribosomal RNA
Source: RNAcentral
AGAGUUUGAUCCUGGCUCAGGACGAACGCUGGCGGCGUGCUUAACACAUGCAAGUCGAACGAGAAUCUACUGAAAGAGUUUUCGGACAAUGGAUGUAGAGGAAAGUGGCGGACGGGUGAGUAACGCGUGAGGAACCUGCCUUGAAGAGGGGGACAACAGUUGGAAACGACUGCUAAUACCGCAUGAUGCAUAGGGGUCGCAUGAUCUUUAUGCCAAAGAUUUAUCGCUUCAAGAUGGCCUCGCGUCUGAUUAGCUAGUUGGCGGGGUAACGGCCCACCAAGGCGACGAUCAGUAGCCGGACUGAGAGGUUGAACGGCCACAUUGGGACUGAGAUACGGCCCAGACUCCUACGGGAGGCAGCAGUGGGGAAUAUUGGGCAAUGGGCGCAAGCCUGACCCAGCAACGCCGCGUGAAGGAAGAAGGCUCUCGGGUUGUAAACUUCUUUUAAGAGGGAAGAGCAGAAGACGGACUCUAGAAUAAGCCGGCUAACUACGUGCCAGCAGCCGCGGUAAUACGUAGGUGGCAAGCGUUGUCCGGAUUUACUGGGUAAAGGGCGUGCACGGUCUGCAAGUCAGAUGUGAAAUCAUGGCUCAACCCAUGAACUGCAUUUGAAACUGUAGAUCUUGAGUGUCGGAGGGGCAAUCGGAUUCCUAGUGUAGCGGUGAAAUGCGUAGAUAUUAGGAGGAACCCAGUGGCGAAGGCGGAUUGCUGGACGAUAACUGACGGUGAGGCGCGAAAGUGUGGGGAGCAAACAGGAUUAGAUACCCUGGUAGUCCACACUGUAAACGAUGAAUACUAGGUGUGCGGGGACUGACCCCCUGCGUGCCGCAGUAAACACAAUAAGUAUUCCACCUGGGGAGUACGAUCGCAAGGUUGAAACUCAAAGGAAUUGACGGGGGCCCGCACAAGCGGUGGAUUAUGUGGUUUAAUUCGAAGCAACGCGAAGAACCUUACCAGGGUUUGACAUCCUGCUAACGAAGUAGAGAUACAUUAGGUGCCCUUCGGGGAAAGCAGAGACAGGUGGUGCAUGGUUGUCGUCAGCUCGUGUCGUGAGAUGUUGGGUUAAGUCCCGCAACGAGCGCAACCCCUAUUGUUAGUUGCUACGCAAGAGCACUCUAGCGAGACUGCCGUUGACAAAACGGAGGAAGGUGGGGACGACGUCAAAUCAUCAUGCCCCUUAUAUCCUGGGCUACACACGUAAUACAAUGGCGGUCAACAGAGGGAAGCAAAGCCGCGAGGCAGAGCAAACCCCCAAAAGCCGUCCCAGUUCGGAUUGUAGGCUGCAACUCGCCUGCAUGAAGUCGGAAUCGCUAGUAAUCGCGGAUCAGCAUGCCGCGGUGAAUACGUUCCCGGGCCUUGCACACACCGCCCGUC